CACGUAGGGCGCGAGCGUUGUCCGGAUUCAUCGGGCGUAAAGGGCGCGCAGGCGGCCCGGAAAGUCGGAUGUGAAAACUCGAGGCUCAACCUCGAGCGUGCACCCGAUACUGCCGGGCUUGAGGCAGGUAGGGGAGAUCGGAAUUCCUGGUGUAGCGGUGAAAUGCGCAGAUAUCAGGAGGAACACCGGUGGCGAAGGCGGAUCUCUGGGCCUGUCCUGACGCUGAGGCGCGAAAGCUAGGGGAGCGAACAGG
RNAcentral lists this ribosomal RNA (253 nucleotides) under uncultured bacterium. RNAcentral's name for it is "partial 16S ribosomal RNA". It matches the Rfam family "Bacterial small subunit ribosomal RNA", at positions 524 to 776 of the family's 1533-position model. The record is from RNAcentral.